ACGUGUGGAGCGAGCGUUGUUCGGAAUUAUUGGGCAUAAAGGGCGCGUAGGCGGAGCGUCGUGUCCGUGGUGAAAUCCCCCGGCUUAACCGGGGAAAUGCCGCGGAAACUGGCAUUCUAGAGUGGAACAGGGGUGAGUGGAACUCUGGGUGUAGCGGUGAAAUGCGUAGAUAUCCAGGGGAACGCCGGUGGCGAAAGCGGCUCACUGGGUUCUAACUGACGCUGAGGCGCGAAAGCGUGGGGAGCAAACA
Molecule: ribosomal RNA, 250 nt
Filed under: uncultured bacterium
Lineage: Bacteria
Description: partial 16S ribosomal RNA
Rfam family: Bacterial small subunit ribosomal RNA
Source: RNAcentral